CCUACGGGAGGCAGCAGUGAGGAAUAUUGGUCAAUGGACGAGAGUCUGAACCAGCCAAGUAGCGUGAAGGAUGACUGCCCUAAGGGUUGUAAACGUCUGUUAUAAAGGAAUAAAACGAGGCACGUGUGCCUGUUUGAAUGUACUUUAUGAAUAAGGAUCGGCUAACUACGUGCCAGCAGCCGCGGUAAUACGGAGGAUGCGAGCGUUAUCCGGAUUUAUUGGGUUUACAGGGAGCGUAGAUGGGUUGUUAAGUCAGUUGUGAAAGUUUGCGGCUCAACCGUAAAAUUGCAAUUGAUACUGGCAGUCUUGAGUACAGUUGAGGUAGGCGGAAUUCGUGGUGUAGCGGUGAAAUGCUUAGAUAUCACGAAGAACCCCGAUUGCGAAGGCAGCUUACUAAACUGUGACUGACAUUGAUGCUCGAAAGUGUGGGUAUCAAACAGGAUCAGAUACCCUGGUAGUC
RNAcentral lists this ribosomal RNA (460 nucleotides) under uncultured bacterium. RNAcentral's name for it is "partial 16S ribosomal RNA". It matches the Rfam family "Bacterial small subunit ribosomal RNA", at positions 338 to 795 of the family's 1533-position model. The record is from RNAcentral.